GGCGGUCCACAGGGCACUAAGCUCCCACACCGCACUUGACUCCAUUUCCUUACUAGAUGCACCCAAAGCUCUGUGGAGAGAGGGCAAGAAGCUGACUCCAGCCAGAAGGUUCCAGAAGAAUCAAAAAGAGCCUUAACCUCUGGGUGGAGACUGGAGCUUGAUCCUGAAGGACAUUCAGAAGGCUCCAGAUGGACAGUAGAAGAGUGUUGCUCCCCGCAGAGGGAUUGGUGUGAGGGACUCUAGGAUGAGCAAGGUCAUCAGGUGUUCAGGGAGGGAGGACACCGGCUUGCCCAGGGGAUGUGGAUCAGAGGUGUGACUCAGAGUGGGAAGGCCGUGGGCUCCACCUCUCUGCAGAGAAGAUACAAUUACACUCAGUGGGACUGGUAAACAUUUAACGGCCCACUCUCAAGGGGAAAAAAAGUGUGUGCGUAUAUUAAUAAUUUUAUUUUAAUUUUUACUGAUUUACAGGAUUGCAGCACGCACUUGAUAAGUAAUUACAAGUUGCCCACGACUCUUCAGUGUAAAUUCCACGUAGCUAAUUGACAGGCAGUCUGUCUGCAGUUUACCACGGUGACAAAACAUAGUGUUGAAUAAAUGCUUGAUAUUAUCCAACUCAAUAAAGAAGUUACCCGUGCCAUUGACAAAUGAGUGUCGUUCUGACACCUGCGCUGGUUGACAUUUGUUUAUGUUAACGAGUAAGAGGAGCAACAGGAAGAUGCACCCUGUAACUUCAUUCAUCUGUCUGUGACAGCAGCGGCCUCUCUGGUGCAUCAUGAAAGAGUGCACAAAUAUUGAGAAUGUUCCCUCAAAACCUUUGCGGCUCACAAUGACAUGACUACAGACAUGACUUUCUUUCUUUCUUUUUUUGGUGGUGCUGGAGAUGAAGAACUCAGGUCCUUGAGUGUGGAAGACACGGGCUUCACCACUGAGCUACCCUCCCCAGCCUGAUGUGACCCAUUUCUAAAUACAGUCUGCAUCGUUAACAUUUUCUCUGUCACUUUAUUCAAUUUAGACAAUCAAUGAAACAAUAAAUCAAGACAUGAGCUUUA
This is a long non-coding RNA of Marmota flaviventris (yellow-bellied marmot), 1049 nucleotides long. RefSeq lists it as uncharacterized. Lineage: Eukaryota; Metazoa; Chordata; Mammalia; Rodentia; Sciuridae. The record is from RefSeq and is a predicted model, not a curated record.